RNAcentral lists this ribosomal RNA (256 nucleotides) under uncultured bacterium. RNAcentral describes it as "partial 16S ribosomal RNA". It matches the Rfam family "Bacterial small subunit ribosomal RNA", at positions 524 to 776 of the family's 1533-position model. The record is from RNAcentral.
UACGUAGGUGGCAAGCGUUGUCCGGAAUUAUUGGGCGUAAAGCGCGCGCAGGCGGCCUCUUAAGUCUGAUGUGAAAGCCCCCGGCUCAACCGGGGAGGGCCCAUUGGAAACUGGGAGGCUUGAGUAUAGGAGAGGAAGAGUGGAAUUCCACGUGUAGCGGUGAAAUGCGGUAGAGAUGUGGAGGAACACCAGUGGCGAAGGCGACUCUUUGGCCUAUAACUGACGCUGAGGCGCGAAAGCGUGGGGAGCAAACAGG